Brassica napus (rape) is the source of this 1700-nucleotide long non-coding RNA. RefSeq lists it as uncharacterized. The transcript is spliced from 2 exons. Lineage: Eukaryota; Viridiplantae; Streptophyta; Magnoliopsida; Brassicales; Brassicaceae. The record is from RefSeq and is a predicted model, not a curated record.
AAACUCGAACUCUGAGGGGCUGACACGUGUCCGACUUCUUCCAAACGCUACGUAUCACUUAAGUUUUAAUACUUCAUUUUGGGCUUGAGUUUCAUUAUUGGUAUUGGGCUUCGGUUUUGUUGAGAGAAAGAGAUUGAACCCUAAUUCCUGUGUCCGAAGGUCAGGAAGGGAGAAGGAAAAAAUGGCACGUGUCCUCUCCGUAACCAUCUAAAACUCUUUUCUAUUCACUUCUUUCGACCAUAACGAUCUCUUUUCUUUCUCUGAAACCGUAGGCGACCGAGCUUCCAUGCAUUCACGAUAAGCCAUCAACUCAAGCUUUAAAUCAGGUCUCAUAAACUCUUUUCUCCUCAUUUAUCAUUUGCAAAAAAAAUUAUAUACAGUGAGCCUUUGAUUUGCUUCAGAUCUGAGAAGGCUGUCGGCCCCAAUAUCAACUCCUAUACCGUUUAAGAAUCGUUUGAUUGGAAGAGGCAGUAUUUAAGGUCUGGCUAGAUCGAAGAUUGAUUUUUAGGUUUUGCUUUCAUCAUACUCUGAUUAUUUUAUGAAAUCUGAUACAGGCUCUUCAAAAAGAAACAAACUUCAAUACUUCAAGCGAUUCGCUUUUUGAGGUUUUGUUCUUAACCUUCUUCUCCGACAAUUUUAUGAAAAUCUGAUGUUAUAACUUAUAAUGCUUUUAGGGUAGAUGGGAAAUUAACGGCAAGUCUUAGAAAGAAUUUGACUUAGAAUGUUGAACAAGUUCAAACAUUGCAAGGCAGAACAAACCACUUUGGCCUCUAAACUACCUUCUUCCCAACUUAAUUAUCCACAGCAACACAAUCGCAGGAAAAGUAAGCAUCAAAUAGAGAGAAAAUUAGACACAUUACAAUAAUCGAAUUUUUAUAGGUGAUCGAUUACUUAUUAACUGGGUUUGAUUGUUGUAGGACAUGUUCUUUCACAUGUUAACUGUUUUCUGGAUUGGUAAGGUCAAAUAUGAUUUGGUUUCCAUAAGAUUCUGGUUUCCUUAAGUUUCUGAUGGCAAAUCCAAGGAGGUUGUUGAUAGCAGCUUCCGAUAGACUGAUAUUCGUAUAUAAUUAUUGACAGAAGGUACUUGCAAAAAGAGUGGUGUUGGCAAGCCGAUGAAACUUUUGGAUUAAAUUAGUGCAUUGUUGAGCGUAUGUUGCUAUUCAAGAAAGAAAGAGUGUUAUGGAGUGUUCUUUCUCACCUAUGAUCUUAAAGCUGUAUCUAUCUCUCAAGUCUCAAACCAUCUGCGUCAUAUGGAGGUAAAAAUUGUUUUUUUUUGCAGUGAUAUCUAAAUGUGUGUGUUUGCAGGAAGAGGAGACAAUUUCAUGGAAGAACGUCAAUGUUUUGUGCUCGGGCUGUGAUAUGUUUCUACUGUCUUGGUUGCUUUAGAAGAUCGUCUGAGAAUCAUAGGAGGGCACUUGAAUCUCGCAGCUGAAGAAAAAGCUCCCAAGAGAAGUAAGCCACCCAGCACGACUCAUGUCUUAGACGUGUUCUCCAGCUGUAGGUGUUGACGGAAGUGUGGCAUGGUGUUACCAGUCCUUCCUUUGUUCAUGCAGAUGUAGGAGUGGUCUGGUCCACUAAUAAAAAUGGACGCGGUGGACCACUAAUGGAUCUGGUCGAUGAUUUGAAUCCAGGAACAUAAUGUAUAGUUGUAAUUGUAAGAAUUGGAAAUGCUUAUAUAAUUGUAUUUUUUUGUAUUAUAA